RNAcentral lists this microRNA (21 nucleotides) under Arabidopsis thaliana (thale cress). Its description in RNAcentral is "ath-miR399c-5p". Its record names the gene ath-miR399c-5p. Lineage: Eukaryota; Viridiplantae; Streptophyta; Magnoliopsida; Brassicales; Brassicaceae. RNAcentral also lists the same sequence under 2 other names. The record is from miRBase by way of RNAcentral.
GGGCAUCUUUCUAUUGGCAGG